AACGAACGCUGGCGGCAUGCCUAACACAUGCAAGUCGAACGAGACCUUCGGGUCUAGUGGCGCACGGGUGCGUAACGCGUGGGAACCUGCCCUUAGGUUCGGAAUAACUCCCCGAAAGGGGUGCUAAUACCGGGUAAUGUCUUCGGACCAAAGAUUUAUCGCCUUUGGAUGGGCCCGCGUUGGAUUAGCUAGUUGGUAGGGUAAAAGCCUACCAAGGCGACGAUCCAUAGCUGGUCUGAGAGGAUGAUCAGCCACACUGGGACUGAGACACGGCCCAGACUCCUACGGGAGGCAGCAGUGGGGAAUAUUGGACAAUGGGCGAAAGCCUGAUCCAGCAAUGCCGCGUGAGUGAUGAAGGCCUUAGGGUUGUAAAGCUCUUUUACCCGGGAUGAUAAUGACAGUACCGGGAUAAUAAGCACCGGCUAACUCCGUG
Molecule: ribosomal RNA, 433 nt
Filed under: uncultured bacterium
Lineage: Bacteria
Description: partial 16S ribosomal RNA
Rfam family: Bacterial small subunit ribosomal RNA
Source: RNAcentral